AUGGGGCUCCGCAAUUGCACCUUCCUGAUGCUGCUGCUCUUCUGCCUGUGCACCUUCCUCUCGCUGUCCUGGUAUGUGGUGCUCAGCGGCAAGAAAUGCGAUGUUGUGGACUUUUACCAGCGGGAAUUCCUAGCGCUGCGGGACCAGUGCACGCAGCUGAGCAGGAGAGCCUCAAGGGCUCCAAGGAGCUCAACCUGGUGCUGGAUGAGAUCACGAGGGCCAUUCCGAGAGGCAGGCGCUGGGAGAGAGAGGGCAAUCGCACCUGGGGCCGCCUAACAGAGAACGCCUAUUGAAGCCUGGGAACGGCUCGCACCUGCAGGUGCUACACCUGCCCACCGUCUUCCACCACCUACCAUACUUGCUGGCCGAGGAGAGCAGUCUGCAGCCCGCCGUGCGCGUGGGCCAGGGCUGCACCAGAGUGUCGGUGGUGAUGGGCAUCCCGAGCGAGAGGUGCACUCCUACCUGGCUGACACUGCACUCGCUCAUCUCCAAGCUGAGCCCACAGGAGGAAGACUCAGCCAUUGUAAUGCUGACUACUGAGACUGACCCACAGUACACUUCAGCAGUGACAGAAAACAUCAAGGCUUUGUUCCCCACCAAGAUGCAUUCUGGGCUCCUGCGGUCAUCUCACCCUCUCCCCACUUCUACCCUGACUUCUCCCACCUCCUAGAGUCCUUUGGGGACCCCAAGGCAAGUCAGGUGGAGGACUAAACAGAACCUCAAUUACUGCUUCCCCAUGAUGUAUGCGCAGUCCAAAGGCAUCUACUAUGUGCAGCUGGAGGACGAAGUUGUGUCCAAGCCCAACUAUCUGAACACCAUGAACUUCGCACUGCAGCAGCCUUCAGAGGACUGGAUGAUCCUGGAGUUCUCCCAGCCGGGCUUCAUUGGGAAGAUGUUCAAGUCGCUAGAGCUGAGCCUGAUUGUAGAAUUCAUCCUCGUGUUCUACCGGGACAAGCCAUCGUCUGUCUCCUAGACCAUAUUCUGUGGGUGAAAGUCUGCAGCCCCGAGAAGGAUGGGAAACUCUGUGACCAGCAGAAGGCCAACCUGCGAAUCCGCUUCAAGCCGACCCUCUUCCAGCACGUGGGUACUCACUCCUCACUGGCUGGCAAGAUCCAGAAACUGAAGGACAAGGACUUUGGAAAGCAGGCACUGCGGAAAGAGCAUGUGAACCCACCAGCAGAGGUGAGCACAAGCCUGAAGGCAUACCAGCACUUCACCCUGGAGAAAGCCUACCUGCGCCAGGACUUCUGGGCCUUCAUCGCAGCCGCUGGGGACUUCAUCCGCUUCCGCUUCUUCCAGCCCCUGCAACUGGAGCGGUUUUCCUUCCGCAGUGGGAACACUGAGCAUCCAGAGGACAAGCUCUUCAACAUGCCUGUAGAGCUGCUGCCUUUUGAUAACCCUCAGUGGGAGAAGGAGGCCCUGCAGGAAGGCUGCGCUGCCACCCUCCAGUACCCUCGGAGCCCCGACGGCUACCUCCAGAUCGCCUCCUUCUACAGGGGAGUGGCAGACGGAGAGGUGGACCCAGCCUUCGGCCCUCUGGAAGCUCUGCGCCUUUCCAUCCAGACGGACUCCCCUGUGUGGGUGAUUCUGAGCGAGAUCUUCCUGAAAAAGGCCAACUAAGCCGAGGGCCUCUGAGGGUACCCUGUGACCAGCCCUGAAACCCACAUUUCUGCGGGAUGUCCUCACUGCCUUCCCCAGAGGGCCAGAUAUGGCCCUGACCGAAGCGUUCUGCCCAGCGCCAGGCUUGGGCCAUCCUGGGGUCCGCUGCUGGCCCCGAGGCCCUAGGAGCUGGUGCUGUCCCCGCCCCACAGGCCUCGGAGGAGGCAGGUGGCCCCCACACUGUGCCU
Molecule: RNA transcript, 1847 nt
Organism: Cebus imitator (Panamanian white-faced capuchin)
Lineage: Eukaryota; Metazoa; Chordata; Mammalia; Primates; Cebidae
Gene name: alpha-1,3-mannosyl-glycoprotein 4-beta-N-acetylglucosaminyltransferase B-like
Exons: 1
Source: RefSeq, a predicted model, not a curated record